UACGUAGGGUGCGAGCGUUGUCCGGAAUUAUUGGGCGUAAAGGGCUCGUAGGCGGUUUGUCGCGUCGGGAGUGAAAACACACAGCUUAACUGUGUGCUUGCUUCCGAUACGGGCAGACUAGAGGUAUGCAGGGGAGAACGGAAUUCCUGGUGUAGCGGUGGAAUGCGCAGAUAUCAGGAGGAACACCGGUGGCGAAGGCGGUUCUCUGGGCAUUACCUGACGCUGAGGAGCGAAAGCAUGGGGAGCGAACAGG
RNAcentral lists this ribosomal RNA (253 nucleotides) under uncultured bacterium. RNAcentral's name for it is "partial 16S ribosomal RNA". It matches the Rfam family "Bacterial small subunit ribosomal RNA", at positions 524 to 776 of the family's 1533-position model. The record is from RNAcentral.